GGGGGUGUAGCUCAAUGGCAGAGCAGGCGGCUCAUAACUGCUUGGUUCCCGGUUCGAGUCCGGGCACCCCUA
This 72-nucleotide transfer RNA is filed under the name Candidatus Xiphinematobacter sp. Its description in RNAcentral is "tRNA-Ile". It matches the Rfam family "tRNA". From Rfam's summary of the family: Transfer RNA (tRNA) molecules are approximately 80 nucleotides in length. Lineage: Bacteria; Pseudomonadati; Verrucomicrobiota; Spartobacteria. The record is from RNAcentral.